UACGGGGGGAGCAAGCGUUGUUCGGAUUUACUGGGCGUAAAGGGCGCGUAGGCGGCCAGCACAAGUCAGUUGUGAAAUCUCCGGGCUUAACUCGGAAAGGUCGACUGAUACUGUGCGGCUAGAGUGCAGAAGGGGCAACUGGAAUUCUCGGUGUAGCGGUGAAAUGCGUAGAUAUCGAGAGGAACACCUGCGGCGAAGGCGGGUUGCUGGGCUGACACUGACGCUGAUGCGCGAAAGCCAGGGGAGCGAACGGG
This 254-nucleotide ribosomal RNA is filed under the name uncultured bacterium. RNAcentral's name for it is "partial 16S ribosomal RNA". It matches the Rfam family "Bacterial small subunit ribosomal RNA", at positions 524 to 776 of the family's 1533-position model. The record is from RNAcentral.